GGGUCUUACAACAUAAUACUAGGAAACCUUUUUAACCACAAUUUAGCCUAGGCUAGAGCAGGUUUCUCAGGAUGUGUAUCAGCUGUUAGAACGAGAUAAUGACACCUUUACAGUCCAUUAAAUAAUACAGUAGCACUGCACUGUCAUUCAUUAAUGGACUUGGCUGUUCUUACCUCAGGGGAGCCAUCAUAGCCUGUUAAUUUCAGUCUGAGGGUUAAACUAGUACCUAAAACCAAGAGAGACAAGCAUGAAAUAUAACUGUUUGAUUCAUGAACAGUGAGUCAGUGAUCCCUAGUUGCAAUUCAUUACCCUAAAACUCACAACGAGACAAGCCCAUACAAAAAACAGAAAAGACAAUAAGGGAUCUGAGAAAACACAUUUACUGUUGCUUAAGCUAGCAUCAUAUUAUAAAGUAGACUAUAACUGUUAGGGCUACUCCUGGGCAAUCCAUGUUCUGAAUCCAAAUGGUCAAAACAGACUCAAGGGGAUCUUUAUGAUGAAACAGUUCGACUCAGCUCUUGCAAUAUUGAACUAGAAUGCAGGAUGUCACACAAACAUUGGAAAAUCAUUUUCUAGGUCGGAGAAAAAUGUAACGUAAAAACAACCGAACUAGCCCUUCCUAGAAUUUUCACAUAACUUGAACUCAAUACUCCUGGAGAGAAUCUGCCCUCCUAACUCCUUCCUUCUUUACCGCAACUUAGUAGUUUAACAUGACUUAGUAGUUUAACAUGACUUAGUAGUUUAACAUGACUUAGUAGUUUAAAUGUACAUGUUAUAUUUACAGUACAGUAGAGGCAGUUAUAUUUACAGUACAGUAAAGUAGAGGCAGUAGGGAAGGCCACCUGUUUAAAACAUAGACUGUCCUUUCCACUUCCCAGACUGCAGUUGGAGCGCUUCCAGGCAACACCAGUCAAACGAGGUCACAUUUUUCCCCCAGCAGCCUUGAGCUAGCAUAGACAGUGCUGCUGCGUCGGAGCCAGGGACUUAUAUAACUGGUCAGAGGCCUGCUCAAUGCUGAGCAGUAGUGAUGAUACUGUACCAGCUAAAGCUGUGAUUGGGUCAUAAAUACCGGUAUAUCACUCUGAUUGGACAAGGGAAGGCAUGCUUGUAUCAUUACAGCAUCUGAUUGGUGCUGGUUUAGUGUGAUGUUCUGAUUUGGUUAUAGGUUCCUUCCACCAUUGGUUAGUUUAGGAUAUGAUACUUACCAUGGAUCAUAAUACUUGCCAUGGAUUGUUUAAAAUGCAGAUUAUAUUGCCAAUAGCAAUACUGUUCCCCUAUAGUCUUGAAUACACAGACAAUACAUAUUGAGCAAAUUAUGAUAAAACAAUAUAAUAACACGUCAAAGCAAUAGCCUAGAGCUACAUUUGACAAUAUGUUGAUUUUAAUAAUCCUAUCUAUGGUUAGGUUGAGAUAUGUUAAUUGUAACAGGCCAACAUCAAAUUUUACCUUGAUUAUCUGCAAGAGCCGCAUUUCUACUGCAUAGUCAGUCUGGCAUCAGGGCAAGUGUGGGACUGCGAAAUAAAAUAAAAAAUAUAUACAUAUACACACACAAAUGUUUUAUCAUAAGUGCACUACAGACAUAAUUGAAGAAGAAUCAAGCACUCAGUGACAGUCAGUAUAUAUUAAAUAAACGGCAUCGCAAUGCACUAUAAUGCGCCAUGCAGUAAGAGCGUAUUAUCAAAUGCAUGUGUGCAGAAGGCAGACAAAAAAAAUGACUUCAUCUUUUUGACUAAAAAAAGAUGUAGCUAGUAAAAACGGCAAGCAGCCUUGGGGGGGAGAGAACCCCAUACACGGCUGCAACUGCCACCGUCUAAAUACAGAUUCACGCAAUCCCUGAAUGAGCACCUGCCGGUACUUCACAAAUGUAUCAUUGAACAGCAAUACACCUCGCUACAUUGUGAUUGUUACAGUUAAUAUCGUAAUGUGUCAAGUAAUAUAAUAUUACAACUAUAGCUAGCUACUAAAUUAAAAUACCAAUGCUGCUGCAUAAACUUGCUGGUCUGCAAGCAAUAAUUUAGCGUUUGCGUCAAGCAAAUUGUACUUGCCGUCUUGCUAGCCUCUCAAACAAAGGGGUUUGCAUUCAGUCUUCGCCAGAAACUGCUAGCUAGGGUUGGCUCGCGCUGUAUGACAGUGCAACACCAAAAUGCCAUGCCAGCUUGGCAGCUCGCU
This 2169-nucleotide long non-coding RNA is filed under the name Salmo salar (Atlantic salmon). RNAcentral describes it as "lncRNA (ENSSSAG00000090742.1, ENSSSAG00020083641.1)". The record is from RNAcentral. Lineage: Eukaryota; Metazoa; Chordata; Actinopteri; Salmoniformes; Salmonidae.